This 360-nucleotide ribosomal RNA is filed under the name uncultured bacterium. RNAcentral describes it as "bacterial SSU rRNA". It matches the Rfam family "Bacterial small subunit ribosomal RNA", at positions 335 to 670 of the family's 1533-position model. The record is from RNAcentral.
ACUCCUACGGGAGGCCAGCAGUGGGGAAUAUUGCACAAUGGGCGCAAGCCUGAUGCAGCCAUGCCGCGUGGUAUGAAAGAAGGCCUUCGGGUUGUAAAGUACUUUUCUAGCAGUGAGGAACGGACGGGUUACGUUAAUAGCGUGCUUGUUUGACGUUAGCUGCAGAAGAAGCACCGGCUAACUCCGUGCCAGCAGACCGCCGGUAAUACGGAGGGUGCGAGCGUUAAUCGGAAUUACUAGGGCGUAAAAGCGCAUGCAGGUGGUUUAGUUAAGUCAGAUAGUGAAAGCCCGGGGGCUACAACCUCGGAAUUGCAUUUGAAACUGGCAAGACUAGAGUACUGUAGAGGGGGGUAGAAUUUC